AUUGAACGCUGGCGGCAGGCCUAACACAUGCAAGUCGAGCGGAGGAAGGGAGCUUGCUCCUGGAUUCAGCGGCGGACGGGUGAGUAAUGCCUAGGAAUCUGCCUGGUAGUGGGGGAUAACGUCCGGAAACGGGCGCUAAUACCGCAUACGUCCUGAGGGAGAAAGUGGGGGAUCUUCGGACCUCACGCUAUCAGAUGAGCCUAGGUCGGAUUAGCUAGUUGGUGGGGUAAAGGCCUACCAAGGCGACGAUCCGUAACUGGUCUGAGAGGAUGAUCAGUCACACUGGAACUGAGACACGGUCCAGAGUCCUAAGGGAGGCAGCAGUGGGGAAUAUUGGACAAUGGGCGAAAGCCUGAUCCAGCCAUGCCGCGUGUGUGAAGAAGGUCUUCGGAUUGUAAAGCACUUUAAGUUGGGAGGAAGGGCAGUAAGUUAAUACCUUGCUGUUUUGACGUUACCAACAGAAUAAGCACCGGCUAACUUCGUG
This 484-nucleotide ribosomal RNA is filed under the name uncultured bacterium. RNAcentral's name for it is "partial 16S ribosomal RNA". It matches the Rfam family "Bacterial small subunit ribosomal RNA", at positions 30 to 507 of the family's 1533-position model. The record is from RNAcentral.